Molecule: ribosomal RNA, 253 nt
Filed under: uncultured bacterium
Lineage: Bacteria
Description: partial 16S ribosomal RNA
Rfam family: Bacterial small subunit ribosomal RNA
Source: RNAcentral
UACGUAGGGUGCAAGCGUUAAUCGGAAUUACUGGGCGUAAAGCGUGCGCAGGCGGUUAUGUAAGACAGAGGUGAAAUCCCCGGGCCCAACCUGGGAACUGCCUUUGUGACUGCAUAGCUGGAGGGCGGCAGGGGGGGAUGGAAUUCCGCGUGUAGCAGUGAAAUGCGUAGAUAUGCGGAGGAACACCGAUGGCGAAGGCUAUCCCCUGUGCCUGCACUGACGCUCAUGCACGAAAGCGUGGGGAGCAAACAGG